GCCCUUUUGAAAGGGAAACGAUUGAAGUCAGUCGUACCUUCGGGUAAUCAGCCUUUCGAGUGCGAUUCUGUGGAGCGUGAGGAGUUAAACGCCUUCAUGCCUGCAUAUUCGUGCACUUUGGGUGUACUUGCCCGUGUGGUAGGUUAACAUCAAUUUCGGAUGUCAUAAAAUGGCUGGAGGAAUGUAGCUUCGGUCUCGUACUGAAGUGUUAUAGCCUUUGGCAGAUGUGAUGACCGGGAUUGAGGAUUGCAACGAAUACCUUUUGGGCUACCCGCCUGAUCUCUGAAAGUUGCUCUGGUGCCGAAAGCUUGCUUACGGUUAUCAAAGUUGACGUUCAAAAGGUUAGAACGGGUUAAAUUCGUUAAGGAUGUUGACGU
Molecule: ribosomal RNA, 377 nt
Filed under: uncultured Glomeromycotina
Lineage: Eukaryota; Fungi; Glomeromycota
Description: eukaryotic LSU rRNA
Source: RNAcentral